This 212-nucleotide long non-coding RNA is filed under the name Carica papaya (papaya). Its description in RNAcentral is "long non-coding RNA (CPAP_LNC013176)". The record is from RNAcentral. Lineage: Eukaryota; Viridiplantae; Streptophyta; Magnoliopsida; Brassicales; Caricaceae.
UUAGUGGAUUGGGCCUCGCUGUUUAAUACUUGAUCGGGGAUACAGUAUCCUGGAGUACUGUUACUUCGUAAUUAUUUCCUUUCACUUCUCGAAAGUUCGUUAGUACUAGCCCACUUCUUGCCUUCUACUGGUUUAGGUUUGUCCUUAGCGAGUAUCACAUCAUCCACCCUCUUUUUAGGGGAUUCGUCGUUGAAUCUAUAGAGAUUAUGAAC